Molecule: transfer RNA, 85 nt
Filed under: Lomentospora prolificans
Lineage: Eukaryota; Fungi; Ascomycota; Sordariomycetes; Microascales; Microascaceae
Also listed under: 1 other name
Description: Scedosporium prolificans tRNA
Rfam family: tRNA
About the family: Transfer RNA (tRNA) molecules are approximately 80 nucleotides in length. Their secondary structure includes four short double-helical elements and three loops (D, anti-codon, and T loops).
Source: Rfam by way of RNAcentral
UCCCAUAUGGUGUAGUGGUUAGCAUAACGCUCUCUCAUCUAAUGAGUGUUCAGCGUAGACCCUGGUUCGAUUCCUGGUAUGGGAG